This 314-nucleotide unclassified non-coding RNA is filed under the name plant metagenome. Its description in RNAcentral is "partial contains 5.8S ribosomal RNA, internal transcribed spacer 2, and large subunit ribosomal RNA". The stretch from base 1 to 105 matches the Rfam family "5.8S ribosomal RNA", at positions 50 to 154 of the family's 154-position model. The record is from RNAcentral.
GAAAUGCGAUAAUUAAUGUGAAUUGCAGAAUUCAGUGAAUCAUCGAGUCUUUGAACGCACAUUGCGCCCCCUGGUAUUCCGGGGGGCAUGCCUGUCCGAGCGUCAUUGCUGCCCUCAAGCACGGCUUGUGUGUUGGGCUUCCGUCCCUGGCAACGGGGACGGGCCCAAAAGGCAGUGGCGGCACCAUGUCUGGUCCUCGAGCGUAUGUGGCUUUGUCACCCGCUCCCGUAGGUCCAGCUGGCAGCUAGCCUCGCAACCAAUCUUUUUAACCAGGUUGACCUCGGAUCAGGUAGGGAUACCCGCUGAACUUAAGC